CUAGGAUAACAUAUUGAUUGAUAAGUGAUCAAACAUCAACACAGUCAUGUUCAGUGUCCUUCAAACUCAUCCCAAGACUCAAGAGAAAGAAAAGACAAACCUCGUGAUCACAGUCGACGAGCUGUUGUUCGCU
This 133-nucleotide microRNA precursor is filed under the name Rehmannia glutinosa. RNAcentral's name for it is "miR5142 stem-loop (rgl-MIR5142)". Lineage: Eukaryota; Viridiplantae; Streptophyta; Magnoliopsida; Lamiales; Orobanchaceae. The record is from miRBase by way of RNAcentral.